RNAcentral lists this ribosomal RNA (492 nucleotides) under uncultured bacterium. RNAcentral describes it as "partial 16S ribosomal RNA". It matches the Rfam family "Bacterial small subunit ribosomal RNA", at positions 29 to 507 of the family's 1533-position model. The record is from RNAcentral.
AGUGAACGCUGGCGGUAUGCCUAAUACAUGCAAGUCGAACGGAAACAUAGUAAGAGUGCGCCUUUACGGGUGGCGAGUGGCGGACGGGUGACGCAUACAUAGGCAUCUUCUAUUUCUGGGGGGACAACGGAGGGAAACUUACGCUAAUACCGCAUACGUCCUACGGGUGAAAUCAGUAGUGCUUCGCACUUUUCGUGAUUGAUUGAGCCGAUGUCGGAUUAGCUAGUUGGCGGGGUAAAGGCCCACCAAGGCGACGAUCCGUAGCUGGUCUGAGAGGAUGAUCAGCCACACUGGAACUGAGACACGGUCCAGACUCCUACGGGAGGCAGCAGUGGGGAAUAUUGGGCAAUGGGCGAAAGCCUGACCCAGCCAUACCGCGUGAGUGAAGAAGGCCUUCGGAUUGUAAAGCCCUUUUAUUAGGAAAGAAAAACUGUAGAUUAAUCCCCCGCUGUUCUGACGGUACCCAAAGAAUAAGCACCGGCUAACUUCGUG